Molecule: ribosomal RNA, 258 nt
Filed under: uncultured bacterium
Lineage: Bacteria
Description: partial 16S ribosomal RNA
Rfam family: Bacterial small subunit ribosomal RNA
Source: RNAcentral
UACGUAGGGUGCAAGCGUUGUCCGGAAUUAUUGGGCGUAAAGAGCUCGUAGGCGGUUUGUUGCGUCGGCUGUGAAAUCCCGAGGCUCAACCUCGGGUCUGCAGUCGAUACGAGCAAACUAGAGUGUUGCAGGGGAGACUGGAAUUCCUGGUGUAGCGGUGAAAUGCGCAGAUAUCAGGAGGAACACCGGUGGCGAAGGCGGGUCUCUGGCCCGGUACUGACGCUGGAGGUGCGGAAAGCCGUUGGGGGAGCAAACAGG